CAUAGAAUUAAUAAUGUUUUAUUAUAUUAUUUUUUAUUUAUUUUUUUAUUAGUUGAGUGCAUAUAUAUAAUAUAUAUGAUAAUGUAAUUAGUUUGAGGUAUUUUUUCCAUGCGGGAAGGAGCAGUUUGUUUUGAUGUAAGCGGAGGAGUGGAACUCAAAAUUUCCUUACUUUGAUAUUUAUUUUCGGCUUUCUUGAUAUUUAUUUUACUAUUUAAUAAUUUUUCUAAAAAAAUUAUUAAAUAGUAAAAUCUAAACUCUACUUUCUUUAUAAUGAAUUAGAAUUAUCUUAUUUAUUAUAAAUUAGAAUUAUCUUUAAAUAAAAUAAAAUUUUUAAUUAUUUAAUAGGUUAAAUUUUAUAAGUAUAAGUUUAUUGCUAUAUUCAGAAAAUAACGGGAUUGACUUACAUCAAAAUAAAUAAUAAAACUAAAAAAAUUAAUUUCAUUAUCACUAAAUUACAUAAAAAAUAAAAAAAAUAAAUUUAACUUUCAAACUAUAUAAAUUAUGUCAAAAUAAAUAAUAAAAAAUUAUUUAUAUUUGAGAAAAACUUAAAUAUUACUGCACUUGCUAUAGAUACGUAAAUCCAAGCGUCCCCUUAGGGCCCGUUUGGUCUAGCUUCUGAAAAAGUGAUUUCUGAAAAAGUGAUUUUGAUUUGUGGAAGUGAUUUUAGUUAAAAGCUGUAGAGUGUUUGGCUGAGUUUAGAUAAAAUCAAUUUUUCAAAAGUGAUUUUGAAAAACUGUUUGGCAAAAUUUUUUUGAUGUUUGCAUAAUUUAAUAUUUUUAUUAAAUUUUAUUUUAAAAUAAUUUAAAAUCUAAAUUUAAAUUUGAAUUAAAAUUAAAUUUUUU
RNAcentral lists this long non-coding RNA (842 nucleotides) under Ananas comosus (pineapple). RNAcentral's name for it is "long non-coding RNA (ACOM_LNC008169)". Lineage: Eukaryota; Viridiplantae; Streptophyta; Magnoliopsida; Poales; Bromeliaceae. The record is from RNAcentral.